UACGUAGGGUGCGAGCGUUGUCCGGAAUUACUGGGCGUAAAGAGCUCGUAGGUGGUUUGUCGCGUUGUCCGUGAAAACUCACAACUCAAUUGUGGGCGUGCGGGCGAUACGGGCAGACUGGAGUACUGCAGGGGAGACUGGAAUUCCUGGUGUAGCGGUGGAAUGCGCAGAUAUCAGGAGGAACACCGGUGGCGAAGGCGGAUCUCUGGGCCUUACCUGACGCUGAGGAGCGAAAGCAUGGGGAGCAAACAGG
RNAcentral lists this ribosomal RNA (253 nucleotides) under uncultured bacterium. Its description in RNAcentral is "partial 16S ribosomal RNA". It matches the Rfam family "Bacterial small subunit ribosomal RNA", at positions 524 to 776 of the family's 1533-position model. The record is from RNAcentral.